GAAGUAUUGGAUACAAUCUUUUGUUUGUAUGUAUUUAAAUAUUGUUUCAGGAGUUUGAUUUUUUUUUGAAAAGCAUUCAACAAUGCAAUGAAAAAAACCAAAGUUUACAUCUGAUAGUGAAAUUUGUAUGUGAAUGAAGUAUAAAACUAUGUGUGAUAGUGUCUGUAAAUCAAGGAGAUCAAACAAUGUGUGAUACAGGGCGUGAUAGUAUCUGUAAAUCAAGGAGAUCAAACAAUGUGUGAUACAGGGCGUGAUAGUAUCUGUAAAUCAACAAACUAUCUCAAUCUGUUGUCUGUUGUCAAUUAGUCUGUUGUCUUCUUUUCAAAAAAUGCUGUGAUUUGGGUGAUAGAGGGCGUGGCUAUAAUAUCUGACUAUGGUAUAAACAAAACUGUUUAAUGGAAAACCAUCAACUUGUCUUAAAAAUUCCAACCAUUAUUAUGAUAAUCCAGCAAAAGAUGUUUGAAAUGUUACAAUAUGAAAUUCAUUGUCCAACAACUUCUUAGCCAAAAAUGUUAGAUGUUUGUUCUGUAAGAUGUGCAAGAAUUACAAAUCGGACACUUUCUAUGUGCAAGAAUUACAAAUCGGACACUUUCUAUGUGCAAGAAUGACAAAUCGGACACUUUCUAUGUGCAAGAAUGACAAAUCGGACACUUUCUAUGUGCAAGAAUGACAAAUCGGACACGUUCUAUGUGCAAGAAUUACAAAUC
RNAcentral lists this long non-coding RNA (707 nucleotides) under Mytilus galloprovincialis (Mediterranean mussel). Lineage: Eukaryota; Metazoa; Mollusca; Bivalvia; Mytilida; Mytilidae. The record is from RNAcentral.